This 529-nucleotide ribosomal RNA is filed under the name uncultured Thermobacillus sp. Its description in RNAcentral is "partial 16S ribosomal RNA". Lineage: Bacteria; Bacillati; Bacillota; Bacilli; Caryophanales; Paenibacillaceae. The record is from RNAcentral.
CACGUAGUUAGCCGGGGCUUUCUUCUCAGGUACCGUCACCCUGAGGGCAGUUACUCCCCAAGCCUUCUUCCCUGGCAACAGAGCUUUACGAUCCGAAGACCUUCCUCACUCACGCGGCGUUGCUCCGUCAGACUUUCGUCCAUUGCGGAAGAUUCCCUACUGCUGCCUCCCGUAGGAGUCUGGGCCGUGUCUCAGUCCCAGUGUGGCCGUUCACCCUCUCAGGUCGGCUACGCAUCGUCGCCUAGGUAGGCCGUUACCCCACCUACUAGCUAAUGCGCCGCGGGCCCAUCCGAAAGUGACAGGUUGCCCCGUCUUUCCCGAACCCUUCAUGCGAAAGGUCCGCUUAUCCGGUAUUAGCAUCCGUUUCCGGAUGUUAUCCCGGUCUUCCGGGCAGGUUGCCCACGUGUUACUCACCCGUCCGCCGCUAAGUUUUCGCGCCUUCCACCCGAAGGCUUCCGCCGCGAAAACUCCGCUCGACUUGCAUGUAUUAGGCACGCCGCCAGCGUCUCGUCGUGCACGAGUCAACUAC